CCCCGCACAGCUCCCACCCCCGCCGCGCGCGCCGCCCCGCCCCCAGCCCGGGAGUGUGCGCGGCCCCUAGCCCGCAGCGCGGCCGCGGGGGACAGUGAGGGACGUGGGUGAGGCCGCCAGAUCCGCUCCGGGCGGCUCGGCGGGGCAGAGGAGGAGGGAGCCGGCGCGCCCUCCCAGAGCCGGACUCCGACUGAGGGGGCGGGGAGAGAGGGGUGGAGCGCUGGGAGAGACGCGAGGGGCCGCGACGACAGGACUCCAUUAAGUCGCUCCAGCCGGGAGGCAGCGCUUCGCCGGCUGAGGUGGGGGACCGACGCCGCCGCCCUGAGAGCCGCCGCCCCCGCGCCUGUUGCAGCGCGAACCCCUGGCCGGGAGCGCGAGGAGCCUGCGGAAGGAGCCAUGGCUCUGGACGGGAUAAGGAUGCCAGAUGGCUGCUACGCGGAUGGGACGUGGGAACUGAGUGUUCAUGUGACGGACCUGAACCGCGAUGUCACCCUAAGAGUGACCGGGGAGGUGCACAUUGGAGGGGUGAUGCUCAAGUUGGUGGAAAAACUUGGUG
Long non-coding RNA from Lontra canadensis (Northern American river otter), 556 nucleotides. RefSeq lists it as uncharacterized. The transcript has 2 exons. NCBI's taxonomy places the organism in Eukaryota, Metazoa, Chordata, Mammalia, Carnivora, Mustelidae. The record is from RefSeq and is a predicted model, not a curated record.